Long non-coding RNA from Lathyrus oleraceus (garden pea), 897 nucleotides. RefSeq lists it as uncharacterized. Lineage: Eukaryota; Viridiplantae; Streptophyta; Magnoliopsida; Fabales; Fabaceae. The transcript has 2 exons. The record is from RefSeq and is a predicted model, not a curated record.
CCUGGUCCAAACAUGACCUUGUGCAUACAAUUUUCACCUCUUCAUGUCGAGCUGCAACAGAGGAAACGAAGAAAUGCCUACAACGUGUCAUUAUGUUCUUUACAUCAGCGUAUCUUCAUCGUCAUCGUUCGUGUUUGAUUCUCUGGUUCCAGCAAGAAGACACAACUGAAUUCACCGCAACGUGUGCAUUCUUCAAUUUCCAGGUUCAUUCAUCACCGCGGUUUGGAGAUUCAAUGGCGUUUCAAGAUUCGAAGCUAGCAUCGUCAAACUUGUAACUCAGUUUGUUCUGCUAUCGGAUGAGAAAAUAGAAGAAAACCACGAUGAAAACGAAUCAAAGACUCACCGGAUUGAGGCUCGAAUGUUGACUGUGAUAUUGCAUGUUAUGGUGAAUCAUGCAUCAUGGGGUACAGACUUCGGUCCAGUUUUGGUGUACAUUGGUCCUAUGGUGGGGAUUCAGGAGUGAGUAGCUGGUUCCAGAUGGAAAUCGGUGAAGCAUUACCUGUGGUGAUGGUAGCGGUUUUGUGUGUUUUGGUCAUAAGAUGGGGAUUCAAGAGCGAGAUGAACAUGUGUUGUCCAUGAUAGUAAGACAUGCAUUAUUGAUAUUAUGAGAAUACGCUCAUAAUAUCAAUAAUGCAUGUGGUACCAUCAUGGACAACACAUGUCCAUCUCGCUCCUGAAUCCCCAUCCUAGGACCAAAGCACCUUUGGGGGUACAGACGAGCAGGUAAAUGAGUAGUUGCUUAGAAGUUGAAGGAUAACGUUGAAGUUGUUCUUCUUUCUUUUCCGUUUUAUGUAAUAUUUUAGAUUCUGUUGCUCUGAUUUAUAACACUGGGCGAAGGAACGUUUGUUUUGCUAUUGGUUUUGAUGUUGUUUAUGUUGAAGGCAUUUGCAGUAACUA